Molecule: ribosomal RNA, 301 nt
Filed under: uncultured bacterium
Lineage: Bacteria
Description: partial 16S ribosomal RNA
Rfam family: Bacterial small subunit ribosomal RNA
Source: RNAcentral
CAGCCGCCGCGGUAAUACGAAGGGGGCUAGCGUUGUUCGGAUUUACUGGGCGUAAAGCGCACGUAGGCGGACUUUUAAGUCAGGGGUGAAAUCCCGGGGCUCAACCCCGGAACUGCCUUUGAUACUGGAAGUCUUGAGUAUGGUAGAGGUGAGUGGAAUUCCGAGUGUAGAGGUGAAAUUCGUAGAUAUUCUGAGGAACACCAGCGGCGAAGGCGGCUCACUGGACCAUUACUGACGCUGAGAUGCGAAAGCGUGGGGAGCAAACAGGAUUAGAUACCCCGGUAGUCCCUGUCUCUUAUAC